Long non-coding RNA from Bos indicus x Bos taurus (hybrid cattle), 1710 nucleotides. Lineage: Eukaryota; Metazoa; Chordata; Mammalia; Artiodactyla; Bovidae. The record is from Ensembl.
GGGUGCAUUCCCACAGUGGCGGGGAGCCUGGGGUGUCUCUGAAUUCUUGUCUUCUUGCAUCAUCUCUGACCUCAGAGGCCAAAGCACCUGAAAACUCCGGGGUCUGGAGAGCAUGGGGAGCGGGGGUGGCGGGGGCGGCGAGGUGGGGGGGGGGGGCGGCCAUCAUUCCUGGAAUCAGGGCCCCUGGGCGCCUCUGCUGCCUGAGGAGAGGCUGGGCUUCCCGCAGCUCGGGACCCUCCAGGCUGCACUCCCCGAGCCAAGUGCAUCUGGACACCCUGGCGGGGAGCUGCCCACGGCUCCGCCUUCCCCUGCGGGACCCAAGAGGAAACGCAGAGCCCGAACCCUGGGAGCGGUGGUUCGAUCCACAGAGAAGGGAAAAGCCAGAGGCGCGGCUGGGCCGGGAAGCCUGGACCCCCCGCCUUACAAGACCAGCGCCCUCCUACCAGGAGACACGGGGCUGGAUGCGGGCCUCUGGCCGGGAUCCUCAUCCUCUCCCAGUGAGAACCCUGAGGAAGAGCUCUAUGGCAGAGACCGAAGCCCACUCUCCCUUCUUUUGCGGUAACGGACCUGAAUGUACGUGGAUGCUGUUGAACCUGGGACCUCACUUCUCUCCAGUCUUCCUCCACCCCGGGGUGGUGGUGGGGUUCAUGACAAAGUCUGAGCCAAUGAUCAUAAGGGAGGUGAUCCACCCCCAGGCUGUCUUCUGAGAGACAGCCCAACUCAUCCAACCGAAACAACAAUCGAAGACUUCUACUCCAAGUUAGAAGUCAACCAGCGUGACCGAAUGCACCCAGAUUUCCUUCUUUUCCCUUUCUGUAGGAAGGGAAAGAAAAAUGGAGAAACAAGGAGAUCCCACAACUCAGCUCUGGCCUGAGAAGGCAAUACUCUAGGGGAUGAAACAGUACCAAGAAGGAAGUACCAGGAAGGAACCCGCAUCCCUGAAUCAACUUGAUCUUCCAUCUAGAUAGAGGUGGUUAUUUGAGAGAGUAGUCUUAUCCUUUAAGCCCUGUAUUCUGGGGUGGAAGGAAGGAGCUGUCGGUUAGCUACCCUAAUUACCUUGGGUUCCUCUGAGGCGAAUGCAGUAAUAUUCUCAUGGCAGAACUAACUGUUUUACCGAAUGAGGUGACAGAAUCCUCUAAGAGUACUGGGGAUGGGGCGAGGAGAGGACAAGACCAAGUUUCUGGACCCAAAGCUAUAGAUUCUAACGCUGCUUUCUUGAGAACAUGAAGACUCGCUUGUAUGUAUCUUUCUAGCCAUGAACGUUUCAUGGACACUGCUCGCUUAGCCAAAAGAUGUACUUUUCAUAUUUCUUAAUUAAAUUCCGGGGAAGAUUUAGGAAGCGACAUUUGAAACCUGGGGUCUUUCCCAUGUUUACUACCUCCCUCCCUCCACCUUGGUCAUCAGUUGAAGUUAAACUGCAUAUACAUAAACCUCUUAAGUCUGUACUGAGGUGUUUUAAAGAAAAUACAGAUAAUGUUUUACCUGUAUUUUCUUAUUCAAAUUAUUGUUAUAGCCCAAGUGGCUAUCACCUUGGUCAUCAUUUUCUUUAUUACAUUAAAGAAAUUUGGGGACUUCCUUAGCAGUCCAGUCGUUAAGACUCCGCCUUCCAUUGCAGAGGGCCCAGGUUCGACCCCUGGUCAGGGAACUGAGGUCCCACAUGCCAUGGGGUGUGGCCAAAAAUGUUAUAAAUAAAUAAAUAAAUUUGGCUCA